RNAcentral lists this ribosomal RNA (460 nucleotides) under uncultured bacterium. Its description in RNAcentral is "partial 16S ribosomal RNA". It matches the Rfam family "Bacterial small subunit ribosomal RNA", at positions 338 to 795 of the family's 1533-position model. The record is from RNAcentral.
CCUACGUGCGGCAGCAGUGAGGAAUAUUGGUCAAUGGCCGUAAGGCUGAACCAGCCAAGUAGCGUGAGGGAAGACUGCCCUAUGGGUUGUAAACCUCUUUUAUGCGGGGAUAAAGGUGUCCACGUGUGGAUGUUUGCAGGUACCGCAUGAAUAAGGACCGGCUAAUUCCGUGCCAGCAGCCGCGGUAAUACGGAAGGUCCGAGCGUUAUCCGGAUUUAUUGGGUUUAAAGGGAGCGUAGGUGGUUUAGUAAGUUGGCGGUGUAAUUCCGGGGCUCAACCUCGGCGCUACCGCCAAAACUAGUAGACGAGAGUGCAGGAGUGGUAAGUAGAAUUCCUGGUGUAGCGGUGGAAUGCGUAGAUAUUAGGAGGAACAUCAGGGGCGAAGGCGACUUACUGGACUGUAACUGACACUGAGGCACGAAAGCGUGGGGAGCAAACAGGAUUAGAUACCCCAGUAGUC